AGAACGAACGCUGGCGGCAUGCCUAACACAUGCAAGUCGAACGAGACCUUCGGGUCUAGUGGCGCACGGGUGCGUAACGCGUGGGAAUCUGCCCUUAGGUUCGGAAUAACAGUUAGAAAUGACUGCUAAUACCGGAUAAUGUCUUCGGACCAAAGAUUUAUUGCCUAAGGAUGAGCCCGCGUAAGAUUAGCUUGUUGGUGAGGUAAAGGCUCACCAAGGCGACGAUCUUUAGCUGGUCUGAGAGGAUGAUCAGCCACACUGGGACUGAGACACGGCCCAGACUCCGUACGGGA
RNAcentral lists this ribosomal RNA (293 nucleotides) under uncultured soil bacterium. RNAcentral's name for it is "partial 16S ribosomal RNA". It matches the Rfam family "Bacterial small subunit ribosomal RNA", at positions 26 to 346 of the family's 1533-position model. The record is from RNAcentral.